This 538-nucleotide ribosomal RNA is filed under the name uncultured bacterium. RNAcentral describes it as "bacterial SSU rRNA". It matches the Rfam family "Bacterial small subunit ribosomal RNA", at positions 777 to 1305 of the family's 1533-position model. The record is from RNAcentral.
AAUAGAUACCCUGGUAGUCCACGCCGUAAACGUUGGGCGCUAGAUGUGGGGACCUUUCCACGGUUUCCGUGUCGUAGCUAACGCAUUAAGCGCCCCGCCUGGGGAGUACGGCCGCAAGGCUAAAACUCAAAGGAAUUGACGGGGGCCCGCACAAGCGGCGGAGCAUGCGGAUUAAUUCGAUGCAACGCGAAGAACCUUACCAAGGCUUGACAUACACGAGAACGGGCCAGAAAUGGUCAACUCUUUGGACACUCGUGAACAGGUGGUGCAUGGUUGUCGUCAGCUCGUGUCGUGAGAUGUUGGGUUAAGUCCCGCAACGAGCGCAACCCUCGUCGCAUGUUGCCAGCACGUUAUGGUGGGGACUCAUGUGAGACUGCCGGGGUCAACUCGGAGGAAGGUGGGGAUGACGUCAAAUCAUCAUGCCCCUUAUGUCUUGGGCUUCACGCAUGCUACAAUGGCCGAUACAAAGGGCUGCGAUGUCGUAAGGCGGAGCGAAACUACCCGAAAACGUCCGGUCUCGUAGGUUCGGAUUGGAGGU